Molecule: ribosomal RNA, 646 nt
Filed under: Escherichia coli
Lineage: Bacteria; Pseudomonadati; Pseudomonadota; Gammaproteobacteria; Enterobacterales; Enterobacteriaceae
Description: partial 23S ribosomal RNA
Rfam family: Bacterial large subunit ribosomal RNA
Source: RNAcentral
UCUUUAUGGGGUGACUGCGUACCUUUUGUAUAAUGGGUCAGCGACUUAUAUUCUGUAGCAAGGUUAACCGAAUAGGGGAGCCGAAGGGAAACCGAGUCUUAACUGGGCGUUAAGUUGCAGGGUAUAGACCCGAAACCCGGUGAUCUAGCCAUGGGCAGGUUGAAGGUUGGGUAACACUAACUGGAGGACCGAACCGACUAAUGUUGAAAAAUUAGCGGAUGACUUGUGGCUGGGGGUGAAAGGCCAAUCAAACCGGGAGAUAGCUGGUUCUCCCCGAAAGCUAUUUAGGUAGCGCCUCGUGAAUUCAUCUCCGGGGGUAGAGCACUGUUUCGGCAAGGGGGUCAUCCCGACUUACCAACCCGAUGCAAACUGCGAAUACCGGAGAAUGUUAUCACGGGAGACACACGGCGGGUGCUAACGUCCGUCGUGAAGAGGGAAACAACCCAGACCGCCAGCUAAGGUCCCAAAGUCAUGGUUAAGUGGGAAACGAUGUGGGAAGGCCCAGACAGCCAGGAUGUUGGCUUAGAAGCAGCCAUCAUUUAAAGAAAGCGUAAUAGCUCACUGGUCGAGUCGGCCUGCGCGGAAGAUGUAACGGGGCUAAACCAUGCACCGAAGCUGCGGCAGCGACACUAUGUGUUGUUGGGUA